This 492-nucleotide ribosomal RNA is filed under the name uncultured bacterium. RNAcentral describes it as "partial 16S ribosomal RNA". It matches the Rfam family "Bacterial small subunit ribosomal RNA", at positions 29 to 507 of the family's 1533-position model. The record is from RNAcentral.
AGUGAACGCUGGCGGUAGGCCUAACACAUGCAAGUCGAACGGCAGCACAGUAAGAUCUUGCUCUUACGGGUGGCGAGUGGCGGACGGGUGAGGAAUACAUCGGAAUCUACUUUUUCGUGGGGGAUAACGUAGGGACACUUACGCUAAUACCGCAUACGACCUACGGGUGAAAGCAGGGGAUCUUCGGAGCUUUCGCGAUUGAAUGAGCCGAUGUCGGAUUAGCUAGUUGGCGGGGUAAAGGCCCACCAAGGCGACGAUCCGUAGCUGGUCUGAGAGGAUGAUCAGCCACACUGGAACUGAGACACGGUCCAGACUCCUACGGGAGGCAGCAGUGGGGAAUAUUGGACAAUGGGCGCAAGCCUGAUCCAGCCAUACCGCGUGGGUGAAGAAGGCCUUCGGGUUGUAAAGCCCUUUUGUUGGGAAAGAACAGCAGCAGGUUAAUACCCCGCUGUUCUGACGGUACCCAAAGAAUAAGCACCGGCUAACUACGUG